AAUAAACGCUGGCGGCGUGCCUAACACAUGCAAGUCGAGCGAGAAAGCUCCUUCGGGAGUGAGUACAGCGGCGAACGGGUGAGCAACGCGUGGGGAUCUACCCUUCAGUGAAGAAUACCCUUGAGAAAUCGAGGUUAAUACUGCAUACGUCCUGUAAAGGAGAAAGAUGGCCUCUUUGCUGUCGUUGAAGGAUGAGCCUGCGUACUAUUAGCUAGUUGGUAGGGUAACGGCCUACCAAGGCGAUGAUGGUUAACCGGCCUGAGAGGGUGUACGGUCACACUGGAACUUAGACACGGUCCAGACUCCUACGGGAGGCAGCAGUGGGGAAUCUUGGACAAUGGGGGAAACCCUGAUCCAGCGAUGCCGCGUGUGUGAAGAAGGCCUUCGGGUUGUAAAGCACUUUAAGUGGGGAAGAAAGGUAUCAAGUGAAUAACUUGGUGCUAUGACGGUACCCGCAGAAUAAGCACCGGCUAACUCUGUGCCAGCAGCCGCCGUAA
RNAcentral lists this ribosomal RNA (497 nucleotides) under uncultured bacterium. Its description in RNAcentral is "partial 16S ribosomal RNA". It matches the Rfam family "Bacterial small subunit ribosomal RNA", at positions 29 to 523 of the family's 1533-position model. The record is from RNAcentral.